This 27-nucleotide non-coding RNA is filed under the name Homo sapiens (human). Lineage: Eukaryota; Metazoa; Chordata; Mammalia; Primates; Hominidae. The record is from RNAcentral.
UGGUGGAAGAACUCAUCCGUGGAGGCC